AUCUGCUUAAGAUUGCUGUUAGCCAGCCCAAAGUUCCAGUUGGGAUGUAAGCACUUUCUGGAAGCAGUGGAAAAGAAACAAUACAGUUGGUUUUGGGUAUGUCCAAAUGGAGGUAAAGACUGCCAUUACAGGCAUGCACUUCCUCCAGGUGAUUAAUGGUUUUCUUCAUAAAAAUCCAUCCAUUGUAUUAAAAGUUGCAUCAUGCUAUGAUCAUGGCCUCUCUUUAAGUCCAGUUCACUAAAGAUUUAGUGUUAUUUUGAUACCAAAAUGCCAUGUGUUAAAGUCCCACAUCGGCUAUAUUUGGACCAUUUCUCUUUCAUAUGUGUUGGAACCUCCCUUCUCUCCCAGGGGCUUUUUGGAGAGUAAUCUAAUGAGAUGAUAUUAGAGCCAAACUCUAGGGACUCAACACUUUGGGGCAAUACAUAUGUGUUAAAAGUCCUGCAUCAGCUAUGCUUGGACCAUUUCUCCUCCAUAUGUUGGAGAAUAAUCUAAUGAGAUUCCACAUAUUCUCAUACCUUGCUAUUGUUCUCUCUCUCUCUCUUUCAUGUGUGUGUAUUGAUUUUUUCAUUUCCAUGCCUGUAAAUUUAUUUGAUGAAAUUUAUUGUGUGGUAAUCAGCGUGCAUAAGUAACUGCUUCAACUCCUAUGACUCUCAAACUGUUCAUGCAAUUGAAGAAGGAAAAAGAUCGAACAGAGAGAUGCAGGUCUGGCUGCUCAGAGAGGCAAGGAUCUGUAAAAUUAAAAUGUUUGGUGAAAACCAAUUGGAUCUUAGGGCGGCGUUUGGUUUGAUGGAACGGUUUUGGGGGAUCUGGAUUUCGUACAAGAAUUUGGAAUUGGGAGGAUUCGGAAUCGGAAGGCUUUGAAUCUUUGGUGUGUUUGGUUUGUAGGAUCUGGAAUGAAAUUGAAUUCUGUUCUUGUCGUGUUGAACACAUAGUCAACACGGCAUUCUGGGUGUCAUGUAACCCAGAUUCAUGCGUAUGUUUGUCCUCUAAAGUGGUGACUGCCUUUUUAACUAGUGGAAUACAGUCUUGAAAGACUUGCUCAUCACCAAAUCAAACAGCAUCCAAUUCCAUUCCAAAAUUUAAUGGGAAAAUCGCAGGUCAGACUUCUUUCUUAUAUAGGCUAUUUCGAUGAUCGGAUUUUUUUUAAGAAAACAACUGUUCUACUCUUUGGAGUAGAUGUCAAGUACUGCAUGCAUCCCACCUC
Cynara cardunculus var. scolymus (artichoke) is the source of this 1204-nucleotide long non-coding RNA. RefSeq lists it as uncharacterized. The transcript is spliced from 4 exons. The record is from RefSeq and is a predicted model, not a curated record. Lineage: Eukaryota; Viridiplantae; Streptophyta; Magnoliopsida; Asterales; Asteraceae.